CGAGAGGCCCAAACAUUAUUCGGAAUUACUGGGCUUAAAGAGUUCGUAGGCGGCAUGACAAGUAGGGUGUGAAAUCCCUCGGCUCAACUGAGGAACUGCCUUUGAAACUAGCGAGCUUGAGGCCGGAGGGGGUAGCGGAAUUCCCAGUGUAGCGGUGAAAUGCGUAGAUACUGGGAGGAACACCAGUGGCGAAGGCGGCUACCUGGACCGGUACUGACGCUGAGGCGCGAAAGCGUGGGUAGCAAACAGGAUUAGAUACCCUGGUAGUCCACGCUGUAAACGAUGGGUGCUCGGUGUCGCGGGUAUCGACCCCUGCGGUGCCUUAGCUAACGCGUUAAGCACCCCGCCUGGGGAGUACGGUCGCAAGGCUG
RNAcentral lists this ribosomal RNA (371 nucleotides) under uncultured organism. Its description in RNAcentral is "bacterial SSU rRNA". It matches the Rfam family "Bacterial small subunit ribosomal RNA", at positions 526 to 896 of the family's 1533-position model. The record is from RNAcentral.